GGUGGUCCCACCUGACCCCAUGCCGAACUCAGAAGUGAAACGCCGUAGCGCCGAUGGUAGUGUGGGGCAUCCCCAUGCGAGAGUAGGGAACUGCCAGGC
RNAcentral lists this ribosomal RNA (99 nucleotides) under Enterobacteriaceae bacterium. The record is from RNAcentral. Lineage: Bacteria; Pseudomonadati; Pseudomonadota; Gammaproteobacteria; Enterobacterales; Enterobacteriaceae.